RNAcentral lists this ribosomal RNA (152 nucleotides) under uncultured Rhizophagus. RNAcentral's name for it is "partial large subunit ribosomal RNA". Lineage: Eukaryota; Fungi; Glomeromycota; Glomeromycetes; Glomerales; Glomeraceae. The record is from RNAcentral.
UGUUAUAGCCUUCGGCAGAUGUGAUGAUCGGGAUUGAGGAUUGCAACGGAUACCCUUCGGGGCUAACUGCCUGGUCUCUGAUCGUUGCUCUGGUGCCGAAAGCGUGCUUACGGUUAUCAAAGUCGAUGGUUAAUAGGUUAGAACGGGUUAAA